GCACCAGUGGUGUAUGGGACACGCAGUCAACUUCGUAUGUUCGUUUAAUGAAUAGUGAUUGAGUCCGGGGUUCGAUUCCCCACUGGUGCA
Molecule: non-coding RNA, 90 nt
Organism: Mycena galericulata
Lineage: Eukaryota; Fungi; Basidiomycota; Agaricomycetes; Agaricales; Mycenaceae
Source: the annotation of a GenBank genome assembly